CAUGGCCCUUAUAGUGGGGCUACACACGUCAUACAAUGGCCGGUACAGAGGGUAGCCAACCCGCGAGGGGGAGCCAAUCCCAACAAAGCCGGUCGUAGUCCGGAUCGCAGUCUGCAACUCGACUACGUGAAGUCGGAAUCGCUAGUAAUCGCAAGAUCAGCAUGCUGCGGUGAAUACGUUCCCGGGUCUU
RNAcentral lists this ribosomal RNA (190 nucleotides) under uncultured Allobrachymonas sp. Its description in RNAcentral is "uncultured Brachymonas sp. partial 16S ribosomal RNA". It matches the Rfam family "Bacterial small subunit ribosomal RNA", at positions 1194 to 1382 of the family's 1533-position model. Lineage: Bacteria; Pseudomonadati; Pseudomonadota; Betaproteobacteria; Burkholderiales; Comamonadaceae. The record is from RNAcentral.